UGUCGUCAGCUCGUGUUGUGAAAUGUUGGGUUAAGUCCCGCAACGAGCGCAACCCUUAUCCUUUGUUGCCAGCGAUUAGGUCGGGAACUCAAAGGAGACUGCCAGUGAUAAACUGGAGGAAGGUGGGGAUGACGUCAAGUCAUCAUGGCCCUUACGACCAGGGCUACACACGUGCUACAAUGGCGCAUACAAAGAGAAGCGACCUCGCGAGAGCAAGCGGACCUCAUAAAGUGCGUCGUAGUCCGGAUUGGAGUCUGCAACUCGACUCCAUGAAGUCGGAAUCGCUAGUAAUCGUGGAUCAGAAUGCCACGGUGAAUACGUUCCCGGGCCUUGUACACACCGCCCGUCACACCAUGGGAGUGGGUUGCAAAAGAAGUAGGUAGCUUAACCUUCGGGAGGGCGCUUACCACUUUGUGAUUCAUGACUGGGGUGAAGUCGUAACAAGGUAACCGUAGGGGAACCUGCGGUU
Molecule: ribosomal RNA, 469 nt
Filed under: Salmonella enterica
Lineage: Bacteria; Pseudomonadati; Pseudomonadota; Gammaproteobacteria; Enterobacterales; Enterobacteriaceae
Also listed under: 2 other names
Description: partial 16S ribosomal RNA
Rfam family: Bacterial small subunit ribosomal RNA
Source: RNAcentral